UAUUAUACUAAUAAAUAUUAAAAGUCUUAAUUAUUAAUAGAUAUUUUCUUUAAAUUUGAAGAAUUUGGCGGUAAUUUAGUCUUGUUAGAGGAACCUGUUUUUGAAUCGAUACACCACGUAAAAUCUUACUUAUCUUAAUAAAAGUUUAUAUACCGUCAUUAACAGAUAAUUUUUAAAAAAUUAAAUUAUUAAAGUUUAUUGUAGAAAUAAAUUAAAUUAGAUCAAGGCGUAGCUAAUAGAUAAGUUAAAAUGGGUUACAAUAAAAUUUAUUUAAAACGAAGCAAAUAAGAGAAAUUAAUUUUGUAGAAGGAGGAUUUAAUUGUAAUAUAAAGUUUAAUAAGCUAAAAAGAUAUAAGCUCUAAAUUAU
Molecule: ribosomal RNA, 367 nt
Filed under: Acantholobulus schmitti
Lineage: Eukaryota; Metazoa; Arthropoda; Malacostraca; Decapoda; Panopeidae
Description: partial 12S ribosomal RNA
Source: RNAcentral